UACCCAGGUAGUCCACGCCGUAAACGAUGAGUGCUAAGUGUUAGGGGGUUUCCGCCCCUUAGUGCUGCAGCUAACGCAUUAAGCACUCCGCCUGGGGAGUACGGUCGCAAGACUGAAACUCAAAGGAAUUGACGGGGGCCCGCACAAGCGGUGGAGCAUGUGGUUUAAUUCGAAGCAACGCGAAGAACCUUACCAGGUCUUGACAUCCCACUGACCGCUAUGGAGACAUAGUUUUCCCUUCGGGGACAGUGGUGACAGGUGGUGCAUGGUUGUCGUCAGCUCGUGUCGUGAGAUGUUGGGUUAAGUCCCGCAACGAGCGCAACCCUUGAUCUUAGUUGCCAUCAUUUAGUUGGGCACUCUAAGGUGACUGCCGGUGACAAACCGGAGGAAGGUGGGGAUGACGUCAAAUCAUCAUGCCCCUUAUGACCUGGGCUACACACGUGCUACAAUGGACGGUACAAACGGUUGCCAACCCGCGAGGGGGAGCUAAUCCGAUAAAACCGUUCUCAGUUCGGAUUGUAGGCUGCAACUCGCCUACA
RNAcentral lists this ribosomal RNA (539 nucleotides) under uncultured bacterium. RNAcentral describes it as "bacterial SSU rRNA". It matches the Rfam family "Bacterial small subunit ribosomal RNA", at positions 783 to 1320 of the family's 1533-position model. The record is from RNAcentral.